AUUGAACGCUGGCGGAAUGCUUUACACAUGCAAGUCGAACGGCAGCACGGACUUCGGUCUGGUGGCGAGUGGCGAACGGGUGAGUAAUGUAUCGGAACGUGCCCAGUCGUGGGGGAUAACGUAGUGAAAAUUACGCUAAUACCGCAUACGAUCUAUGGAUGAAAGCGGGGGAUCGCAAGACCUCGCGCGAUUGGAGCGGCCGAUAUCAGAUUAGGUAGUUGGUGGGGUAAAGGCCCACCAAGCCGACGAUCUGUAGCUGGUCUGAGAGGACGACCAGCCACACAGGAACGGGGACACGGUCCAGACUCCUACGGGAGGCAGCAGUGGGGAAUUUUGGACAAUGGGCGAAAGCCUGAUCCAGCCAUUCCGCGUGCAGGAUGAAGGCCCUCGGGUUGUAAACUGCUUUUGUACAGAACGAAAAGGUUUCUACUAAUACUAGGAGCUCAUGACGGUACUGUAAGAAUAAGCACCGGCUAACUACGUGCCAGCCGCCGCCGUAA
Molecule: ribosomal RNA, 500 nt
Filed under: uncultured bacterium
Lineage: Bacteria
Description: partial 16S ribosomal RNA
Rfam family: Bacterial small subunit ribosomal RNA
Source: RNAcentral